UUCCGGUUGAUCCUGCCGGACCCUACUGCUAUCGGGGUGGGACUAAGACAUGCGAGUCGAGCGUCUCUAGCUAUGUUGAGACGCGGCAGACGGCUCAGUAACACGUGGCUAACCUACCCUCAGGACAGGGACAAACCCGGGAAACUGGGGCUAAUACCCGAUAGGCGAGGAUGCCUGGAAUGGUUUCUCGCCCAAAGGACUUUGGGAACAUGCUUCCAUUGUCACCUGAGGAUGGGGCCGCGUCCGAUCAGGUUGUUGGUGAGGUAACGGCUCACCAAGCCUAUAACCGGUACGGGCCGUGAGAGCGGUAGCCCGGAGAUGGGUACUGAGACAAGGACCCAGGCCCUACGGGGCGCAGCAGUCGCGAAAACUCCGCGAUGCACGAAAGUGUGACGGGGCUACCCCGAGUGCUCUCCGCUGAGGAAAGCUUUUCCCUGGUGUAACUAGCCGGGGGAAUAAGGAGAGGGCAAGACUGGUGUCAGCCGCCGCGGUAAUACCAGCUCUCCGAGUGGUAGGGAUGUUUAUUGGGCUUAAAGCGUCCGUAGCCGGCUUAGCAAGUUUCCUGUUAAAUUCAGCGACCUAAUCGUUGAGCCGCGGGAAAUACUACUAGGCUAGGAGGCGGGAGAGGUCAACGGUACUUCCGGGGUAGGGGUGAAAUCCUAUAAUCCCGGGAGGACCACCAGUGGCGAAGGCUGUUGACUAGAACGCGCUCGACGGUGAGGGACGAAAGCUGGGGGAGCGAACCGGAUUAGAUACCCGGGUAGUCCCAGCUGUAAACGAUGCGAGCUAGGUGUUGGGAUGGCUACGUGCCAUUUCAGUGCCGCAGGGAAAGCCAUUAAGCUCGCCGCCUGGGGAGUACGGCCGCAAGGCUGAAA
RNAcentral lists this ribosomal RNA (875 nucleotides) under uncultured archaeon. RNAcentral describes it as "bacterial SSU rRNA". It matches the Rfam family "Archaeal small subunit ribosomal RNA", at positions 1 to 854 of the family's 1478-position model. The record is from RNAcentral.